Molecule: small nuclear RNA, 191 nt
Organism: Lampris incognitus (smalleye Pacific opah)
Lineage: Eukaryota; Metazoa; Chordata; Actinopteri; Lampriformes; Lampridae
Product: U2 spliceosomal RNA
Exons: 1
Source: RefSeq, a predicted model, not a curated record
CUCACUUCUCGGCCUUUUGGCUAACAUCAGGUGUAAUAUCUGUUCUUAUCAGUUUAAGAUCUGAUAUGUCCCCUACCCGGGGAUCAUAUACUAACUUGAUUUUUGUAACAGGAAGGUGGACUAGGGACUUGCUCCGUCUACUCCACACGUCGACCUGUUAUUGCAGUAUCUCCAGGAAUGUUGCAUACCCU